This 478-nucleotide ribosomal RNA is filed under the name uncultured bacterium. Its description in RNAcentral is "partial 16S ribosomal RNA". It matches the Rfam family "Bacterial small subunit ribosomal RNA", at positions 28 to 507 of the family's 1533-position model. The record is from RNAcentral.
GAUGAACGCUAGCGGCAGGCCUAACACAUGCCAGUCGAGGGAGAAGCCCUUUCGGGGGCAGAAACCGGCGCACGGGUGCGUAACGCGUAUGCAACCUACCUUUCACAGGGGGAUAGCCCGAAGAAAUUUGGAUUAAUACCCCAUAAUAUUAUUGGAUGGCAUCAUUUGAUAAUUAAAACUGCGGUGGUGAAAGAUGGGCAUGCGUCCUAUUAGCUAGCUGGAGUGGUAACGGCACCCCAAGGCUACGAUAGGUAGGGGUCCUGAGAGGGAGAUCCCCCACACUGGUACUGAGACAGGGACCAGACUCCUACGGGAGGCAGCAGUGAGGAAUAUUGGUCAAUGGUCGGAAGACUGAACCAGCCAUGCCGCGUGCAGGAAGAAUGCCUUAUGGGUUGUAAACUGCUUUUAUAUGGGAAGAAUAAGGUGUACGUGUACAUUGAUGACGGUACCAUAUGAAUAAGCAUCGGCUAACUCCGUG